This 460-nucleotide ribosomal RNA is filed under the name uncultured bacterium. Its description in RNAcentral is "partial 16S ribosomal RNA". It matches the Rfam family "Bacterial small subunit ribosomal RNA", at positions 338 to 795 of the family's 1533-position model. The record is from RNAcentral.
CCUACGGGUGGCAGCAGUGAGGAAUAUUGGUCAAUGGACGAGAGUCUGAACCAGCAAAGUAGCGUGAAGGAUGACUGCCCUAUGGGUUGUAAACUUUUUUUAUAUGGGAAUAAAAAGUGGCGUGAAUACCCUCUUGUACGUCCCCUAUGUAUAAGCAUCGGGUAACUUAGUGACAGCAGCCGCGGUAAUACGGAGGAUCCGUGCGUUAUACGGAUUGUUUGGGUUUAAAGGGAACGUAGGUGGGAUGUUAAGUCAGUUGUGAAAGUUUGUGGCUCAACCGUAAGAUUGCAGUUGAAACUGGCAGUCUUGAGUACAGUAGAGGUAAUCGGAAUUCCGGGUGUAGCGGUGAAAUGCGUAGAUAUAACGAAGAACACCAAUGGCGAAGGCAGAUCACUGGACUGUAACUGACGCUGAGGCUCGAAAGUGUGGGGAGCAAACAGGAUUAGAUACCCCGGUAGUC